Molecule: long non-coding RNA, 682 nt
Organism: Hippocampus zosterae (dwarf seahorse)
Lineage: Eukaryota; Metazoa; Chordata; Actinopteri; Syngnathiformes; Syngnathidae
Exons: 2
Source: RefSeq, a predicted model, not a curated record
UCGAUUCCAGCUCUGGCCUCCCUGUGUGGAGCUUGCAUGUUCUCCCCGGGCCUGCGUGGGUUUUCUCAGGGUGCUCCGGUUUCCUCCCACAUUCCAAAAACAUGCGUGGCAGGCUGAUUGAACACUCUAAAUUGUCCCUAGGUGUCAGUGUGAGUGUGAAUGGUUGUUCGUUUCUGUGUGCCCUGCGAUUGGCUGGCAACCGAUUCAGGGUGUCCUGCGCCUGCUGCCCGAAGACAGCUGGGAUAGCCUCCAGCACCCCCCGCGACCCUAGUGAGGAUCGAGCGGCUCGGAAGAUGAAUGAAUGAAUUAAAAAAAAAAAAAAGCCCAUCGAGACUCAAGAUUACAGCAAACAUACACGUCACUGGAGACAGUUUAACCUUAUCUUGAAAAUUAAUUAUUUCUUCCAUUUAUUUGAUGUUUAUGUUUGGGCUGUGCGGGAAACAUAAAGAAGCAAAGUGGUCGCUAAAAGCAAACGCGGAAUCCGAAAUUUCAGAUUGGAGUCACAACGGGUCAUGGCAGACAUUGUCUCAAAUUUUGGGAGCGAUAUGCUCCACCAUGCCCUGGUUCAUGCUUGGAUUUUGCACACAGUCGAAACACAGGAAACCCAUCCUCGCCCGUCCUUAAAAAUCUUUCAGAUUUAGACGAGCUAAAUUAGCGAUAAGCCAAAUACUACCUUAAUCCU